UACAGAGGGGGCUAGCGUUGCUCGGAAUCACUGGGCGUAAAGCGCACGUAGGCGGGUCUUUAAGUCAGGGGUGAAAUCCUGGAGCUCAACUCCAGAACUGCCUUUGAUACUGAGGAUCUCGAGUCCGGGAGAGGUGAGUGGAACUCCGAGUGUAGAGGUGAAAUUCGUAGAUAUUCGGAAGAACACCAGUGGCGAAGGCGGCUCACUGGCCCGGUACUGACGCUGAUGUGCGAAAGCGUGGGGAGCAAACAGG
Molecule: ribosomal RNA, 253 nt
Filed under: uncultured bacterium
Lineage: Bacteria
Description: partial 16S ribosomal RNA
Rfam family: Bacterial small subunit ribosomal RNA
Source: RNAcentral